UACGGAAGGCAGCAGUGGGGAAUAUUGCACAAUGGGCGAAAGCCUGAUGCAGCUAUGCCGCGUGUAUGAAGAAGGCCUUAGGGUUGUAAAGUACUUUCAUCGGGGAGGAAAAAACAAAACUAAUAAUUUUAUUUCUUGACGUUACCCGAAAAAGAAGCACCGGCUAACUCCGUGCCAGCAGCCGCGGUAAUACGGAGGGUGCUAGCGUUAAUCAGAAUUACUGGGCGUAAAGAGCACGUAGGUGGUUUUUUUAAGUCAGAUGUGAAAUCCCUGAGCUUAACCUGGAACUGCAUUUUGAAACUGAAAUACUAGAGUAUCGUAGAGGGAGGUAGAAUUCUAGGUGUAGCGGUGAAAUGCGUAGAUAUCUGGAGGAAUACCUGUGGCGAAAGCGGGCCUCCUAAACGAAUACUGACACUGAGGUGCGAAAGCGUGGGGAGCAAACAGGGAUUAGAUACC
RNAcentral lists this ribosomal RNA (456 nucleotides) under uncultured bacterium. RNAcentral describes it as "bacterial SSU rRNA". It matches the Rfam family "Bacterial small subunit ribosomal RNA", at positions 340 to 786 of the family's 1533-position model. The record is from RNAcentral.